CCCCCCCCCAGCCUUGGACCUACCCCAGAAGGUGUCGCAGCUCGAGGCCAGGCUAAAGCAGCUCCACAGCGACCUCCAGAAGGAGAAGCAGGGCAAGGUGGUUCUCCAGGUGGAAGUGGCCAACCUGCGCCACAACAACUGGCACCUGCAGCAGGAAUUGCACUCGGCCUCGCGCCAUCUCUGCCGCUUCGCCCUCUUCUUCUCCGGUACUGUGGACAAGGAAGAGCUGUGACCCCCCCCGGACAAUGGCAUUCCAUAGGGAACACCGUCAUUCCAUAGAGAAUGCUGCCAUUCCAUAAGGAGUGCUGGGAUUCCAUAGGGAGACGCAGUUCCAUAAGGGACACUGAGGAUCUCACAUCUUCUUCAGCACCAUGGACAAGGAGGAGCUGAG
Long non-coding RNA from Pezoporus flaviventris, 391 nucleotides. RefSeq lists it as uncharacterized. NCBI's taxonomy places the organism in Eukaryota, Metazoa, Chordata, Aves, Psittaciformes, Psittacidae. The transcript is spliced from 3 exons. The record is from RefSeq and is a predicted model, not a curated record.